AUUGAACGCUGGCGGCAUGCCUUACACAUGCAAGUCGAACGGCAGCAUGGGUGCUUGCACCUGAUGGCGAGUGGCGAACGGGUGAGUAAUGCAUCGGAACGUACCCGGAAGUGGGGGAUAACGUAGCGAAAGUUACGCUAAUACCGCAUAUUCUGUGAGCAGGAAAGCGGGGGAUCGCAAGACCUCGCGCUUCCGGAGCGGCCGAUGUCGGAUUAGCUAGUUGGCGGGGUAAAGGCCCACCAAGGCAACGAUCCGUAGCGGGUCUGAGAGGAUGAUCCGCCACACUGGGACUGAGACACGGCCCAGACUCCUACGGGAGGCAGCAGUGGGGAAUUUUGGACAAUGGGCGCAAGCCUGAUCCAGCCAUGCCGCGUGCGGG
RNAcentral lists this ribosomal RNA (379 nucleotides) under uncultured bacterium. RNAcentral's name for it is "bacterial SSU rRNA". It matches the Rfam family "Bacterial small subunit ribosomal RNA", at positions 29 to 407 of the family's 1533-position model. The record is from RNAcentral.